UCUUGUCUCACGUUUGCAUCUCUACAUCUCUACUUCGUUUGCUCAUUGCUCUGUUUGCCUCUCUAAACAAAACCCUUAAAUCAGAUAGUUGAUACCACAUCUGCGAUGCAUCCACAAAACCCUCAGAGCCCGACGCACCCACAACCUCAAAUCGGAGGCGCUUCUUCUCAUCCAAUCCAAAUCGUCGGCCACUCUCUAGCUUAUUCUCUUCCAAUCCAUAUUUAAAUCAGCAGCGCACUCAUAUCCAAUCCAACUUGGCGGCGCUUCAUCUCUUCCCGUACGACUCGGCGACCCUUCAACUCUUCCAUUCUAAAUCAGUGGUGCCACCCACAAUCUUCAGGUAUGAUUGCGGCAUGUAUGUUAUUAAGCACAUGCAUACAAAAAUUAUCAAACAGAAUCUAACCUUUAUGGAGAGCUGGUCAGAACUUAUUCGAUAUAAGUUGGCAUCAAAUCUAGUGCUUUCAAAGGAAAAUUAACAACGUUAAAAAAUAAUAGAAAAUGCUAGAAAUACUCCACUACAAGAUAUUUUUCGGUCACUGGAAUGACAGUGAUUUGUAUAAUUUGAUAACUGAAUUUUUCGGAAAAUGCUACAAUUUAGUGAAUUUUAUUUUUAAUUGAAAGGGAGAUUGAAUUUCAUGAGUUGCACUACCCUUGUUUAUGUGAGUUGCACUGCAUGUUUUUAGAUAUCAAUUUAUGUUGUUUGAAGAUGGUCCACUGCAAGAAGAAUAGAAUGAUGUCAGCUUACAGAGUAAAAAUUUAGUUUUAGUUUCAGAAAACUUUGAUGAUUUCAAGGCUGAUAAAGAAGCCAAACUGGAGGAAUGGUUGGGGGGGGUGGGGGAUUGACAACCCGCAUAAUCAUAGAGACGCAAGUGAUGCCGAAAGGGCUUUUACAUGACAAUACUCAGCUUAUGAAAAAGCUUUACCUGAAUCUGCAAUCACUGCUUGGAAAAUAGAAUCAGGAAUCUUCUUGUCAUGAACACAAAAUUGUGCAUUUUAACAUGUAUUUGAUGCUUCUGCCCCUACCAACUAGUUUCCAGUACUUGUGCUGCUUUACCAAAAAAAAAAAGGUUUCCAGCACUGUAUUUGUUAUGUGAAGUAAUGCUGAAUGAUGAGAUAAUAGCUAGUACAUGCAUUCGGCACUAUCAAUUGUUUGGAGAUGUUGAGUUUGGACAAUCUGCUUGGCAGACUAUAUGACAUU
Quercus lobata is the source of this 1198-nucleotide long non-coding RNA. RefSeq lists it as uncharacterized. Lineage: Eukaryota; Viridiplantae; Streptophyta; Magnoliopsida; Fagales; Fagaceae. The record is from RefSeq and is a predicted model, not a curated record. The transcript is spliced from 4 exons.